Molecule: ribosomal RNA, 484 nt
Filed under: uncultured bacterium
Lineage: Bacteria
Description: partial 16S ribosomal RNA
Rfam family: Bacterial small subunit ribosomal RNA
Source: RNAcentral
AUUGAACGCUGGCGGCAGGCCUAACACAUGCAAGUCGAGCGGAUGAAGGGAGCUUGCUGCUGGAUUCAGCGGCGGACGGGUGAGUAAUGCCUAGGAAUCUGCCUGGUAGUGGGGGAUAACGUCCGGAAACGGGCGCUAAUACCGCAUACGUCCUGAGGGAGAAAGUGGGGGAUCUUCGGACCUCACGCUAUCAGAUGAGCCUAGGUCGGAUUAGCUAGUUGGUGGGGUAAAGGCCUACCAAGGCGACGAUCCGUAACUGGUCUGAGAGGAUGAUCAGUCACACUGGAACUGAGACACGGUCCAGACUCCUACGGGAGGCAGCAGUGGGGAAUAUUGGACAAAGGGCGAAAGCCUGAUCCAGCCAUGCCGCGUGUGUGAAGAAGGUCUUCGGAUUGUAAAGCACUUUAAGUUGGGAGGAAGGGCAGUAAGUUAAUACCUUGCUGUUUUGACGUUACCAACAGAAUAAGCACCGGCUAACUUCGUG